AUCCAGCUGACAAGUCCCAAAUAGGACGAAACGCACCUUCUGGAU
RNAcentral lists this non-coding RNA (45 nucleotides) under Schistosoma mansoni. Lineage: Eukaryota; Metazoa; Platyhelminthes; Trematoda; Strigeidida; Schistosomatidae. The record is from RNAcentral.